CUCACAGAGAUCCACCCGCCUCUGCUUCCCAAGCGCUGGGAUUAAAGGCGUACGCCACCACCGCCCGUCUGGCUUCUGUUUUAAAGUUGAUUUGUUUUCACGGCCUGUCACUGACUGCCAUGGGGGUGAUGCUUCUUAGUUUUCCAUUGCCGUAUCUUGAAUGUACACAGACCUAUCAGCUUAAAAAUACCAACGCUCGGUCCUGCAUCUGCGAAGGAAGGAGAAAGAAGCCCUGCGAGGUCAGGACUGGAUGCUUGCCCUCUCCCGAGUCUGGCAGUUGUCAGGGUGAGGAGGCCUCUUCCAAGUUCAGGAGCUGUGGACACAGCGCGCUUCCUUCUUUAGAGUCCUGCAUCUCAAAGGCCAGUCAUGGUGCCUGGAAUCUCCUGGUGCUUUUGAUCUGCCUUUCAUCUUGGCUUCCAGGGGCUCCUGUGGAGACUUCGUGACCUCCCUGUUUUCAGGUGAGCUGGCUAGGAGAUGAGCUUCAUCUGCAAAGCCUUCUUUGCCAAGUAAGAGGCAAGGUCGUUACCAAAAGAGUAACAUUGAUGGUAGAAGCCUUGGGGCCAAAACUCGGCCUGCCACAGUCUCCAGACUUCCCGGAGUGGUUAUAAGGAGGCAGACCCUGCCUGCCCUGCCUCUACCCUCGAAAAAGCAGAUUCAGCCAGACCAGUGUGCCCGGCAGGGUCUCUUGAUGACAAGCCACAGCGCCACCUAGUGGCUAACAGCAGGUUCGACUUUACAACACACAAUUCUCUCCAAACAGCGCCUGGAGAGGCCCAGACUCAGCUGGGACGUCACAUCACCUGUGGCAUCUUAAGUCUGUUCUAAUGAAAACCCAGCGUCUACCACAGCCCUCAUGUCUUGGUGAGACUCCACCACGAGCACCACCAAGGUAGAUGGCCUUUCUCCUGGAUCUGCACCUGGCUGGGCUGCCCAAAUUUGCUGAGAAAGUGGCUUCUGCCCUAGCUGGAGCUUGCGACAUCCCUGGCUUUGCUGCUGAGAGCAGUCACCUGGAGUGGAAUUCCGGAGCGGUACAGGGAAUCCCGCCAGGACCACACCAUCCUGCAGGAAAUACCUUCCUCAUCGUGGACUCAGACAAUCAGGAGAGAGGAAGAGACGGAACGACUCACUUCCCUCUUUUCAAGAAACGAACAGUGUCCUGAGGGGUCCCACAGACUUCGACUUUUAUUCUUUGGACAACAGCCACAUGGUCACACUUGCACCAAACAGACAGCUUUUAUUUUGGCAAUUAUGAAAAAGCAGCUGUAACUUUAGAGCUGGAAGAAAGGAUGGUGGUGACUGAGAACAUGUAGCAUGUCGCCACACUUUUUAUAUAAGAAAAACUGAGGACCCCGAGAGGUCAACAAUCGUCUGGAGGUCAGUCACAUAGCUGGGAAAGGGUGGAACAGGUAGGGCCCCAGAGACACGUCCAGCGGAGUCCUCAGAGGGGAGGACCUCUCUGUACACUCCCCAGCCUUUAGGAGCACCCAGGGCCAUGGCUCAGAUCUCCAGUGCCCUGCAAUGCUAGCCACCUCUCUGGCCCAGGCCCAUCCUGGUGGCACCAGCCAUGCCCGGCACUGACUCCAUCCAUCCCACUAAUGCCCACAUCAGCUGUGCUCACAGCAUUCCUGAGGCGGCCUCCUGAGCACUGAAUAAUUCAGGCCCAUGUAAUGGGAUAAUGAAUUUACUGACAAGCCAGUGUGGUCGCGGUACUUACAGUCUAGAAAUACUGACUCCCCAGGCCCACUAGGCAGGCAGGCAGGCAGGCAGGCUUGUCCUACCAUCAAGAAGCUGGGUGAAAAGCCCCAGCCUUUCCUGGGGAACUCAGCCUGAUGGAGUAAGAAGCCCGCUUGGGUCUCAAUGGUUCUCCCACUUCUGGGGGAAGUGGCUGGGGCCAGGGGCGGCCUGGUGGGACCUUUACCAGGGGAGCAGAACCAGAUAAAACAGCAGAGAUGGGUGGGAACACGCAACCCCCUCCUAGGAGCCCUGGUUCUUUAUGAGGCAACCAAGGUUGAGGCUUUGUAGCCCUGUCACUGUUUUGUGCUGGGAAUUUCGGGGUGACUCCGAACCCUUGGGGUGGAGAGAGACCUGCUUCCUUUCCUGCUAACUUGUUGCUCACCUGCCCCAGCUGCCAUGGUUUGCACGUGUCCCUCUCUGGAGACGAUCGCUUCCACCUGGCGGGCAGGAAGGCGGGCGCCUCUCCUCUCAAUCUGGCUGGGGGGUGACUGAGGACGAGUUGGAAUGCCUGGAUGGAAGCCUCCCCAGCUUGGAGGAGGGAUGAGUACUGUGAGGCUCUGCCACUUCAAGCCCUUCCUCUGGCCCACCCUCCCCUCAGCUUCCACCCUCCCCUCAGCUUCCACCCCCUUCCUCUCCUCUCUGCCUCCUGUCUGGGGCACUGUCUAUGGGAACGGAUAGACGCUCUUCCUGGCCUGAACCCUGCCA
Peromyscus maniculatus bairdii (prairie deer mouse) is the source of this 2439-nucleotide non-coding RNA. The record is from RefSeq and is a predicted model, not a curated record. Lineage: Eukaryota; Metazoa; Chordata; Mammalia; Rodentia; Cricetidae.